RNAcentral lists this long non-coding RNA (1642 nucleotides) under Lupinus angustifolius (narrow-leaved blue lupine). RNAcentral describes it as "long non-coding RNA (LANG_LNC001208)". Lineage: Eukaryota; Viridiplantae; Streptophyta; Magnoliopsida; Fabales; Fabaceae. The record is from RNAcentral.
AAAUUCUCUAAGCAUAUAUUUUUUCACAACAAAAAACGAAUACAUAGAUGAAAUGGACAUUGAAUAAGACCAUUUACAACAUAGAUCAAAAGCAAUACCUUUUUUAUAUUGUCUCACCUUACUGAAUACUGAUCCUCAUUAGAAAUACAUUGAGUUACAAAGUAGUAGACAAGUAGGUAUGGUAAACCAUUCAAAAAUCUGCACGGCCAUAUACAAUAAAGAUACAUACUGUUAAAGUCAUUUCCUAAAUAUUCAUCCAGUCUUCAAAACCAUGCUCAUAGCGCUUGUAGCCACAAGUAAUUGAAUCAAACUGCAAUUUCAAUUUACAAAAUUCACAUUUCUGAAUGAAACCAAAAAAGUUGUUAGUCUAAGGGGGGAAAUGGAGGAGUUUAAUCUCUGAGAGGAUAUUAGCUUUAAGCAAAUUCGAGAUAACAACAAAACAAAGUCGAGCCAACAAAUGAAACUCAUGGGUUUUAAAGCCAAUUUAGAGUUCAGUUCAUCACGAUCAAAUAAUCUUGAAUAAUCAAGAUCAAGAUUAGAAAAAUAUCAGUAUCGCCACAAAUGAAAUCUCAAGAAAUACACCACUUUCGUAGCAUCAAUUAUAAAGAAAUUCAAAGAUUGAAAAUCAAGAAAGUUGUGCAAUCGAUAAAGAGUCAGAAAGGGCACAAUGAAAGUUUUAUCUCUCUAUACAACCAGUGUUCCAAGCAUUCCAAAAAUAAUCAAUUAUAAAAAAUUCAAAGAUUGGAUAUUGAGAGAAAGAAUUAGAGAUGUGUAUUGAUUAAAGGUCGGAAAAGACACAAAGAAAUCAAACUUAUUUGUUUCUUUAUCUUUAUCUAGAGUUUCAACCAUUGCAAAAACCAAGUGAAGCAACCCAGUGAUGUUUAGGGUUUUGGGACAGUUUGUUAGUUCCAUGAAGACACCACUUGUAAAGAAGUUCAAAGAGUCUCAAUUUCCUUCUGUCUCUCUAGAGUUUGAACCAUUGCAAAAAUCAAGCAAUGUCAUUAGCUUAAACCAAUAACCCCAAAAAAUAAAAAGAACCUUCGAAAAAUGUCAGAGUUAGAGGAAAAUACCAUUACCACCAUAAACGAAAAAAAUUGCUUCUUGAAAAGUUUAGUGUUUUGGAACCGAUAAUGAAUGAGCAGAUUAAGAAAGAAGGCACAAUCCUUAAAUUGAUUACAAUGAAAUUCAAUGGAGAGUGAUGUGAAAAUGAUAAAAGGGUCAGAAUGGGAAGAAAUAAAUGGAAUUUGAUCACUCUCUAUUCAAUAAAGGAGAGAGAGAUUUGCCACUUACAAAGGGUCGGAAAGGAAGAGAAGGAAUCAAAUUCUUUCUCUCUCUCUCUCUCUCUCUCAAAUUCUCUCUUUCUAUUUUCUUUCUUUCAUAGUUUGGCUGGAACCACUGCAAUAGUUAGAAAGCAUGUUUGCUUGCAGAAAACAACGUAGCAGUCAUUAUAGAGUAAAGUGACCAACAACAAAACGUAAAGGUUACGCAACUUAUAAUAUACCUCUAUAAAUUGGGCCUAUUAAAUUCAUAUGGGCCCGUUUACAUUUCACACCUUUUUUAACAACCACAAUAUUAAUUUUUAAUUAUUUUUUUGUCUAUUAUGUAAUCUAAUAUUCUACAUCCUACCAAAAAACAAUAAAAA